This 1346-nucleotide ribosomal RNA is filed under the name uncultured bacterium. Its description in RNAcentral is "partial 16S ribosomal RNA". It matches the Rfam family "Bacterial small subunit ribosomal RNA", at positions 28 to 1381 of the family's 1533-position model. The record is from RNAcentral.
GACGAACGCUGUUUGCGUGCUUAACACAUGCAAGUCGAACGGAAAGGCCCUGCUUUUGUGGGGUGCUCGAGUGGCGAACGGGUGAGUAACACGUGAGUAACCUGCCCUUGACUUUGGGAUAACUUCAGGAAACUGGGGCUAAUACCGGAUAGGAGCUCCUGCUGCAUGGUGGGGGUUGGAAAGUUUCGGCGGUUGGGGAUGGACUCGCGGCUUAUCAGCUUGUUGGUGGGGUAGUGGCUUACCAAGGCUUUGACGGGUAGCCGGCCUGAGAGGGUGACCGGCCACAUUGGGACUGAGAUACGGCCCAGACUCCUACGGGAGGCAGCAGUGGGGAAUAUUGCACAAUGGGCGGAAGCCUGAUGCAGCAACGCCGCGUGCGGGAUGACGGCCUUCGGGUUGUAAACCGCUUUCGCCUGUGACGAAGCGUGAGUGACGGUAAUGGGUAAAGAAGCACCGGCUAACUACGUGCCAGCAGCCGCGGUGAUACGUAGGGUGCGAGCGUUGUCCGGAUUUAUUGGGCGUAAAGGGCUCGUAGGUGGUUGAUCGCGUCGGAAGUGUAAUCUUGGGGCUUAACCCUGAGCGUGCUUUCGAUACGGGUUGACUUGAGGAAGGUAGGGGAGAAUGGAAUUCCUGGUGGAGCGGUGGAAUGCGCAGAUAUCAGGAGGAACACCAGUGGCGAAGGCGGUUCUCUGGGCCUUUCCUGACGCUGAGGAGCGAAAGCGUGGGGAGCGAACAGGCUUAGAUACCCUGGUAGUCCACGCUGUAAACGGUGGGUACUGGGUGUGGGGUCCAUUCCACGGGUUCCGUGCCGUAGCUAACGCUUUAAGUACCCCGCCUGGGGAGUACGGCCGCAAGGCUAAAACUCAAAGGAAUUGACGGGGCCCCGCACAAGCGGCGGAGCAUGCGGAUUAAUUCGAUGCAACGCGUAGAACCUUACCUGGGUUUGACAUGGAUCGGGAGUGCUCAGAGAUGGGUGUGCCUCUUUUGGGGUCGGUUCACAGGUGGUGCAUGGCUGUCGUCAGCUCGUGUCGUGAGAUGUUGGGUUAAGUCCCGCAACGAGCGCAACCCUUGUUCACUGUUGCCAGCACGUUAUGGUGGGGACUCAGUGGAGACCGCCGGGGUCAACUCGGAGGAAGGUGGGGAUGACGUCAAGUCAUCAUGCCCCUUAUGUCCAGGGCUUCACGCAUGCUACAAUGGCUGGUACAGAGAGUGGCGAGCCUGUGAGGGUGAGCGAAUCUCGGAAAGCCGGUCUCAGUUCGGAUUGGGGUCUGCAACUCGACCUCAUGAAGUCGGAGUCGCUAGUAAUCGCAGAUCAGCAACGCUGCGGUGAAUACGUUCCCGGGGCU